This is a long non-coding RNA of Apis cerana (Asiatic honeybee), 460 nucleotides long. RefSeq lists it as uncharacterized. The record is from RefSeq and is a predicted model, not a curated record. Lineage: Eukaryota; Metazoa; Arthropoda; Insecta; Hymenoptera; Apidae.
CACAAAAAUACAUACGCAUACAAAAUAUAUUCGAAGUUCUAAAUUUUGCUUUAUAGAGAUUUUACUUUUUUGGAUUCUUGACCAUUAUAGUGGGGGAAAAGGAAGAAGAGAAAUAGGUACAGAAAAAGAGAAAGACAGAUUCUUUAAGAAAUAUUCCCCAACCAGCUACAUCGGAUGGUGCCAUUAAAAGCUAGAUAACAAGGACAUUGUUUCGUAUUACAUUGGGCUUUGCAUCUACACCCUGGAAAACGAUUUUGACAUUCGCUACUACAUUGGCAAAACUUCUCACAGAAGUUUUGAGCUUGUAUACAUGGACAUGAGUUAUCGCAUUGUCUUCCCGGAUGAUCGCAUGGUGCAAAAUUAUGGACAUGAUUGGCGCCUUAAAAGCAAAGAAAAUAAUAAAAAAAUAAUGUAAAUUAUGAAUAAAAAAAUAAAUCAAUAUUAUUUAUUUUAGAAUAUU